AGAGUUUGAUCCUGGCUCAGAUUGAACGCUGGCGGCAGGCCUAACACAUGCAAGUCGAGCGGAUGAGAGGAGCUUGCUCUUCGAUUCAGCGGCGGACGGGUGAGUAAUGCCUAGGAAUCUGCCUGGUAGUGGGGGACAACGUUUCGAAAGGAACGCUAAUACCGCAUACGCCCUACGGGAGAAAGCAGGGGACCUUCGGGCCUUGCGCUAUCAGAUGAGCCUAGGUCGGAUUAGCUAGUUGGUGGGGUAAUGGCUCACCAAGGCGACGAUCCGUAACUGGUCUGAGAGGAUGAUCAGUCACACUGGAACUGAGACACGGUCCAGACUCCUACGGGAGGCAGCAGUGGGGAAUAUUGGACAAUGGGCGAAAGCCUGAUCCAGCCAUGCCGCGUGUGUGAAGAAGGUCUUCGGAUUGUAAAGCACUUUAAGUUGGGAGGAAGGGCAGUAAGCGAAUACCUUGCUGUUUUGACGUUACCGUCAGAAUAAGUACCGGCUAACUCUGUGCCAGCAGCCGCGGUAAUAC
This 523-nucleotide ribosomal RNA is filed under the name uncultured Pseudomonas sp. RNAcentral's name for it is "bacterial SSU rRNA". It matches the Rfam family "Bacterial small subunit ribosomal RNA", at positions 8 to 526 of the family's 1533-position model. The record is from RNAcentral. Lineage: Bacteria; Pseudomonadati; Pseudomonadota; Gammaproteobacteria; Pseudomonadales; Pseudomonadaceae.